AGUGAGUCCAGUCACCAGUGUUGUGAUAGCAGUGGCUAACCUCUGUUAGCGCAAGUCACUUGGUGAAUAUCUGUUGGUGUAAAAGGUCUUGCUCCUUAUCGUGACUUGAUAUAAUCAAUUCAGCAUCUCAGAAGAAGAAUGUUACUACGGCUACUGCUACCGGGAAUAUUAAUUCUGGCUCACUAUUCAAAGUCAGUGGUGAUCCGAAAUCAGGUCAACAGCACCGAACCUCCCCCAUCCAACACGACCUCUGAGCCUUGCACUUGUGUCGUCUCCUUCUUGUGUCAAGCCUCAGACUUUGUAAGUCCAGAGAACGGAGGCCGAUGUGCUAACAGUGCCCAAGUAUGCUGCAAGGAACCCUUCACAGGCACUAAUACAGAAAGAUGCUCAGCUCCAGGAACGAGCUUCGGAUAUUGUGUCGAGUUUAAAAACUGCAUCGAAGAAAUGAUGCCUCAUAUCAGCGCAGUUCCCUUCCCUGACUUCGUCGCAAGAUUUGGGUGCGGAAGGGAGAGUCCUGAAGGAAAUGUCAGGGUGUGUUGUUCGACCAGACAAAGCUAACAAUAUACGUCCAUGCUCAGGGACUCAAUGCAUAAUAAUCCAACUUAAGUCGUGGCUAAAUUAUUGCUGCUUCUCAAAUCAUUAUCAUUGCUGUUGUUGUGACUUUGUAUAUAGCCAGACUAUUGUGACAUGAAAAUCGCGCAGUUAUUUGAAAGACGAGCUUCGUCAAGUCCAAAGUGUUGUCGCAAAGGCCGAUGGGCCUUUCUCCAGCCCACUCACGGGUAAACAAGGAAGUUUCAAAGGUUGGAUAGAGGAUGAAUUCAGUUAGCUGACGUCACAGGCAUCCAGGGAGCCGUCCUAUUUUCAUCAGUGCGAAGAUGUUUCCAAUGGUGUACAAUAUCUAGCUACAACGCUUCACUUUAGUGAUUCAAAAAGAAUGCCGAACUCCUGAAUGGACAACUAAUAUGGGUUGUAUACUUUACUGAUAAAACAUAAAUACCCCGAAAGUACCAGAUAAGACAACUAAUCUGUGUUGCCCUGUAUCUAUAAAUGGCAUCCUCACGGAAUGACAUGGAACAUAAUUCUCGAGGUCAAAAGGAAAAAAAGAAAACUGAUGAAUGACCUAUGUCUUGCUGUAAUUUAAUGGCAUUCCAUGAACUGAAAAAAAAGUGAGAGAUUGUGAUAACUGUCACAUUUGAAAAAUAUAACUUCUUUCUCUUUAUCUUGUUUUCUUUUACCUGGGGCUCUAUCGGAAAUUACUUCUAAUUCUAAGUUAAUGAACGUGGCAGGUUCGUGCUUGUCAAAAGUUUAACAAUUAAAAAACAUACAUGAAUGAAUCCUGAAACGUAUGGCUGUGUGUCUGCAACAGAGUGCAUCCAUAGUACAUACGCAUGAGACUUCAUCAAGUUUUUAUACGCUUUUUUUUCGAAGGAUAAAACACUUGAACUGAUUAUGUAUAUACUUGUUAGCCUUGUACUAUACAUUCGAUGUAAGUGAACUUUACAUUUCCGUCCUUACGUGUUUCACAAGAAAUACUU
This is a long non-coding RNA of Macrobrachium nipponense, 1535 nucleotides long. RefSeq lists it as uncharacterized. The transcript is spliced from 5 exons. Lineage: Eukaryota; Metazoa; Arthropoda; Malacostraca; Decapoda; Palaemonidae. The record is from RefSeq and is a predicted model, not a curated record.